AGGAGUGAUACGCUUCUCAGUGGCAUCAAAAUCGGUGGAAGCAUUCUUGGCAUCAUCACCAGCACCAAUGCGGUAGAUCUUGGAGUUCAAUUGAGUACGGUGCAUGUAACCAGCGUUACCAGCACGAGCAACAGUCCAUUGGACGUUGGCAGGGUGCCAAGCACCGAUACAAGCAACCUUACGAAGACCACGAUGAGUCUUACGGGGAAGACGCUUGGUACCCCAACGGGCAGUAGUACCCU
Molecule: non-coding RNA, 242 nt
Organism: Schizosaccharomyces pombe (fission yeast)
Lineage: Eukaryota; Fungi; Ascomycota; Schizosaccharomycetes; Schizosaccharomycetales; Schizosaccharomycetaceae
Source: the annotation of a GenBank genome assembly